CUGCCAAAUUAGAAACUGGGUGAACAAAAAUUUAUUUUUUUCUUGCAAGUACUUUUGAUCUUCCAAAUUUGCAGUGAACUCUAAAUAAUGUUUUUUAAUUAAAAAUAAUGGUCUGGAUUGCUUCAUCACUUCACUAUUAUAUGCUUUAAAUUGGUAACGUUGCGUUUAAUCUUUCGCACUAUUUAAGUAAUAGAUUUUCAGCACCUUUUGUUCUCUUUUUUCAACGUUUACCAUCUUACUGCAGGGUAACAUAGAUGAGGAAGGAAGUUUUACUCUCAGAGAUCGUCUCCUCCCCCUCAUUAUUUGCCUGCUGAGAACAGACAAACUUCCUGCGUUUCUCAGAAUCUACCGGGAUACACUUAUUACUGUUAUGAAAGCUUCAAUCAAGGCCACAGUUGCAGAGUUGCUUCCAGUUUUAACUGCCAGACCAAUAGAUUUUGAUUCAGUAACUGGAGACAGGGCUGCUGAUGCUGACGCUGGAGGCCAGUCCUUAGCAAAUAAGUUGCGAACUCUGUCAUCUGAAGGGUUUGUUCAACUUUUGUCCGCCAUUUUUAGGAUAGUACAGGUAAAAUAAUCCAUAACAAGAAUUCCAUUUUCAUAUUUUUGGGAAAGAAGAUCCUGGGCAAAAUUUAGUUUUAUUGACUUUACCAUCUUCUUGUGGCCGGUUGUAAAAUCUACUUGUAGCCUUACACUGUUUUAGCAUUUAUCAAUGCUUAUUUGGUUCCUGAAAACAAUCUAUUUUGGCCUCUAUGCCUGAUGUACUGAUUAUUUAAUUUGCUUUUAUGAAAUGUGAGCAAUUUGUUCUA
Panicum virgatum (switchgrass) is the source of this 806-nucleotide long non-coding RNA. RefSeq lists it as uncharacterized. The record is from RefSeq and is a predicted model, not a curated record. The transcript has 3 exons. NCBI's taxonomy places the organism in Eukaryota, Viridiplantae, Streptophyta, Magnoliopsida, Poales, Poaceae.